GUGUCUUCAGAGACUGAGAGGUAGAGAGACACACUGUCAAGGUGACAGGUAUCCUAGUGGUUUAGAGACUGAGAGGUACAGAGACACACUGUCAAGGUGACAGGUAUCCUAGUGGUUUAGAGACUGAGAGGUACAGAGACACACUGUCAAGGUGACAGGUAUCCUAGUGGUUUAGAGACUGAGAGGUACAGAGACACACUGUCAAGGUGACAGGUAUCCUAGUGGUUUAGAGACUGAGAGGUAUAGAGACACACUGUCAAGGUGACAGGUAUCCUAGUGGUUUAGAGACUGAGAGGUAGAGAGACACACUGUCAAGGUGACAGGUAUCCUAGUGGUUUAGAGACUGAGAGGUAUAGAGACACACUGUCAAGGUGACAGGUAUCCUAGUGGUUUAGAGACUGAGAGGUAUAGAGACACACUGUCAAGGUGACAGGUAUCCUAGUGGUUUAGAGACUGAGAGGUACAGAGACACACUGUCAAGGUGACAGGUAUCCUAGUGGUUUAGAGACUGAGAGGUACAGAGACACACUGUCAAGGUGACAGGUAUCCUAGUGGUUUAGAGACUGAGAGGUACAGAGACACACUGUCAAGGUGACAGGUAUCCUAGUGGUUUAGAGACUGAGAGGUAUAGAGACACACUGUCAAGGUGACAGGUAUCUUAGUGGUUUAGAGACUGAGAGGUACAGAGACACACUGUCAAGGUGACAGGUAUCCUAGUGGUUUAGAGACUGAGAGGUACAGAGACACACUGUCAAGGUGACAGGUAUCUUAGUGGUUUAGAGACUGAGAGGUACAGAGACACACUGUCAAGGUGACAGGUAUCCUAGUGGUUUAGAGACUGAGAGGUAUAGAGACACACUGUCAAGGUGACAGGUAUCCUAGUGGUUU
Molecule: long non-coding RNA, 888 nt
Organism: Oncorhynchus keta (chum salmon)
Lineage: Eukaryota; Metazoa; Chordata; Actinopteri; Salmoniformes; Salmonidae
Exons: 5
Source: RefSeq, a predicted model, not a curated record